This 941-nucleotide long non-coding RNA is filed under the name Trifolium pratense (red clover). RNAcentral describes it as "long non-coding RNA (TPRA_LNC011779)". Lineage: Eukaryota; Viridiplantae; Streptophyta; Magnoliopsida; Fabales; Fabaceae. The record is from RNAcentral.
AAUCCCACACAAACCAUCACUGUCACACGAAGCUAGGAAUUUCAAGGUUUGAAUAUUUUCUUCCUUUUCAUAUCUCCAAUGUUUUCUUGUUCUGUUUGUUUAUGUCUUUUUAAAACCUGUCUCUUUCAUUCAUUCUAAAAAUCUUUAGACACUUAGUAUUUUCAAUAGCUUCCAAGACUUUUAAGUAGCUACUAGCUAUAGUCUUAUUACUUAUGAAGGAAACAGAGUACUUAUGCAAUUCUUCUAGUUUUUAGCUUAAGCCAACUCUAUGAAAACUAAGAGUCUUUUCCAAUAUUUCUAAAAAUAGAGCACUAACUCAAAUGUUUUAGUUAACAAGUUGUCUAUUUUCACUUGAUUUUAUAUUAGCAAUGAACUCAUGUUUAGUACCCUUAUUGAUUCUUUAAGUGAUCACAAGUAAAGUGUAAUUAUGUAACAAGUUGUUGGUAACAAGAUACUUCUAAACUUUGGAUUCAUAUGAUGAGUUGAAAGUCUUUGUUUCAUUUACUAUGAAACCAUAUACACGUAUGAGAAUAAGAAGUAGAUGUCAUGCAAUUUUCUUAAUUAUGUNNNNNNNUAAUUCUAGUUAGUUAAGAAAUAGUUGUUUUGAUGAGUUAAUAGGUGUCCUAGAUGAAGGUGAUUGCUCGAGUUAUUUUGGAAAGCUUCGAGGUAAGGGGAAUCGCUAAUAAUAAGUUUCGAUGAGCAUAAGAAAUGUGUUACUAGCUUGUAUAUAUAUUAUUAGUUAUAACUAGGGGUGUUGUGUACUUUAUAUAGUAAUUUAUAUUCAUUAAGGUAUAUGCAAAAUGUUAAAUGAUGAGUGAUUGAUUUUAGUUUGAUUAUAUGUGUGAAUAAAUCUUCUGCAAUAUAUGAUUUGAAAAUGUUCAUGUGUUUGAGUGUUAUGGUGAAAAAUUGAGGUUAACUCUCAUAAGUUGUAUGGUGAGUUU